RNAcentral lists this ribosomal RNA (392 nucleotides) under Harpadon nehereus (Bombay duck fish). RNAcentral's name for it is "partial large subunit ribosomal RNA". It matches the Rfam family "Bacterial large subunit ribosomal RNA", at positions 2054 to 2597 of the family's 2925-position model. The record is from RNAcentral. Lineage: Eukaryota; Metazoa; Chordata; Actinopteri; Aulopiformes; Synodontidae.
UGCAGAAGCGGGGAUUUAACCAUAAGACGAGAAGACCCUAUGGAGCUUUAGACAUUAAGCAGCCUACGACAAGCAGCCGUGUAAAACAGCUACAAACAACGUUAACCCUCCUGAACUGUCUUUGGUUGGGGCGACCGUGGGAUAAAAUUAACCUCCCAUGAGGACCGGAACUAACCUUCCAGAACUAAGGGCCACUGCCCUAAGCAACAGAAACUCUGACCUAAAUGAUCCGGCCCACCGCCGAUCAACGGACCGAGUUACCCUAGGGAUAACAGCGCAAUCCCCUCCUAGAGCCCCCAUCGACGAGAGGGUUUACGACCUCGAUGUUGGAUCAGGACAUCCUAAUGGUGCAGCCGCUAUUAAGGGUUCGUUUGUUCAACGAUUAAAGUCCU